RNAcentral lists this ribosomal RNA (253 nucleotides) under uncultured bacterium. Its description in RNAcentral is "partial 16S ribosomal RNA". It matches the Rfam family "Bacterial small subunit ribosomal RNA", at positions 524 to 776 of the family's 1533-position model. The record is from RNAcentral.
UACGUAGGGUGCGAGCGUUAAUCGGAAUUACUGGGCGUAAAGCGUGCGCAGGCGGUUUUGCAAGCCGGAUGUGAAAUCCCCGGGCUUAACCUGGGAAUGGCAUUUGGGACUGCAAGGCUGGAGUGCGGCAGAGGAGACUGGAAUUCCUGGUGUAGCAGUGAAAUGCGUAGAUAUCAGGAGGAACACCAGUGGCGAAGGCGGCUACCUGGACCAGCACUGACACUGAGGCACGAAAGCGUGGGGAGCAAAACGG